AUGGCAAAGUUUUGGUGGAGUGGUUCCCUUGAUCGCAGCUCGUUGCAUUGGGUGGCAUGGGACAAACUUGCAUCUCCAAAAGCCCGAGGUGGCAUGGGUUUUCGUGAUCUCGAGUUGUUCAACUUGGCGCUAUUGGGUAAACAUGGUUGGAGAUUUAUUACAAAUCCCAAUUCGCUUUGUGCAUGGGUCAUGAAGGGGUGCUACUUCCCUGAUUGUGAGUUUAUGGAUGCUUCUGUUACACAUUCAUCUUCGAUGAUUUGGCGAGCCAUUGUGGCAGGUAAGGAAGCGCUCACAACAGGUUUAAUCAAAAGAGUUGGCGAUGGAACUACCAUUUCCAUUUGGGAGGAUCGAUGGAUCCCGGGUCUGCCCACUUUGUCCCCUUCGGUUAUACCUGGGGGUACAACACUUGGUAUUGUUGAUCAACUUAUUGAUGCUGAAAAUUGGACAUGGCGGCAAGAGUUGGUCAUGCAGUUUUUUAUCCUACCGGAGGCCGAAGCUAUCCUGAAUAUUCCUUUGCGCCAUGGUGGGGGUGAUGAUUUUCAAGCAUGGGCUCAUGAAAGAAGUGGUGUCUAUUCUGUUAACUCCGCGUACCGUGCUCUCGUGACUCGGAAAGAGCGUACUGCUCUAGAGGAAGGGACGGUGACCAAUACCUCACAGACCGAAGAACAGAUGUGGAAACUGCUUUGGAAGCUCAAGGUUUUGCCGAAGGUGCGAGUAUUCUGGUGGCGGGUUGUCCGUGGUAUUUUACCAGAUGAGUGCACCCUCCGGCGUCGUCAUAUCAAAGUCAUCAGUAGAUGA
This 798-nucleotide ribosomal RNA is filed under the name Triticum aestivum (bread wheat). RNAcentral describes it as "partial small subunit ribosomal RNA". The record is from RNAcentral. Lineage: Eukaryota; Viridiplantae; Streptophyta; Magnoliopsida; Poales; Poaceae.